RNAcentral lists this ribosomal RNA (626 nucleotides) under uncultured Modestobacter sp. RNAcentral's name for it is "bacterial SSU rRNA". It matches the Rfam family "Bacterial small subunit ribosomal RNA", at positions 338 to 974 of the family's 1533-position model. The record is from RNAcentral. Lineage: Bacteria; Bacillati; Actinomycetota; Actinomycetes; Geodermatophilales; Geodermatophilaceae.
CCUACGGGAGGCAGCAGUGGGGAAUAUUGCGCAAUGGGCGAAAGCCUGACGCAGCGACGCCGCGUGAGGGAUGACGGCCUUCGGGUUGUAAACCUCUUUCAGUAGGGACGAAGCGAAAGUGACGGUACCUACAGAAGAAGCACCGGCCAACUACGUGCCAGCAGCCGCGGUAAUACGUAGGGUGCAAGCGUUGUCCGGAAUUAUUGGGCGUAAAGAGCUCGUAGGCGGUCUGUCGCGUCGGCUGUGAAAACCCGAGGCUCAACCUCGGGCCUGCAGUCGAUACGGGCAAACUAGAGUACUGCAGGGGAGACUGGAAUUCCUGGUGUAGCGGUGAAAUGCGCAGAUAUCAGGAGGAACACCGGUGGCGAAGGCGGGUCUCUGGGCAGUAACUGACGCUGAGGAGCGAAAGCGUGGGGAGCGAACAGGAUUAGAUACCCUGGUAGUCCACGCCGUAAACGUUGGGCGCUAGGUGUGGGGGCCAUUCCACGGUCUCCGUGCCGCAGCUAACGCAUUAAGCGCCCCGCCUGGGGAGUACGGCCGCAAGGCUAAAACUCAAAGGAAUUGACGGGGGCCCGCACAAGCGGCGGAGCAUGUUGCUUAAUUCGAUGCAACGCGAAGAACCUUAC